UACGAAGGGGGCUAGCGUUGCUCGGAAUUACUGGGCGUAAAGGGCGCGUAGGCGGACAGUUUAGUCAGAGGUGAAAGCCCAGGGCUCAACCUUGGAAUUGCCUUUGAUACUGGCUGUCUUGAGUUCGGGAGAGGCGAGUGGAAUGCCGAGUGUAGAGGUGAAAUUCGUAGAUAUUCGGCGGAACACCAGUGGCGAAGGCGACUCACUGGCCCGAUACUGACGCUGAGGCGCGAAAGCGUGGGGAGCAAACAGG
This 253-nucleotide ribosomal RNA is filed under the name uncultured bacterium. RNAcentral describes it as "partial 16S ribosomal RNA". It matches the Rfam family "Bacterial small subunit ribosomal RNA", at positions 524 to 776 of the family's 1533-position model. The record is from RNAcentral.